Molecule: small RNA, 2629 nt
Filed under: Pan troglodytes (chimpanzee)
Lineage: Eukaryota; Metazoa; Chordata; Mammalia; Primates; Hominidae
Description: retained intron
Source: RNAcentral
AGAGCGCUGCCGCCGCCGCUUUCGCCCGGGAGCCGGGGGCCGGGCGCCAUCAUGCUGAGCCGGCUCGGGGCGCUGCUGCAGGAAGCCGUGGGGGCGCGCGAGCCCAGCAUUGACCUGCUGCAGGCCUUCGUGGAGCACUGGAAGGGCAUCACGCACUACUACAUCGAGAGCACAGGUGCGGCCUGGCCCUCCCCAGCCCAGGGACCCUGGAGGGAGCGGGGAGGAAGGAGUGUGCAGAGUGUCACCAUUCAGGUGUCCUGGGAAAGGUAACCUGCCCAGUCGUUCAGAAUCGGAGCCGAGUUCACGGAGACAGAGAACCAGACAGACAGAAGACCCAGAGCCCUGGGCCACUCCACUCCUGAUGAUUUAGCUGCUGGUCCCACUCUGACCUUUUAGAAAGAGGCUGUGUGAGGAAGGAGUAGCCUGGUUGGGGGUCUCACUGGCCUGACUCUGCAAGGAAGAGGUGGCUGCACUUCCCCCAGCUUCCAGCUCCAGACCUUCAGGCCCCAGGUGCUUGUGCCUAGGGUUUAAUGAUCAAAAGAAAAGAGUUUAAUAAAUUCCCCUUUCCCCUGAGCCAGCUUAGGGGCAUUGUCCUUGUAGAGAUCUGGGGUAGGAGGAGAAUGAAAACCAAGGUGCGUAACAUGCCUGGGUCCCUCUCUCCAAGCUGACACCCCAAAGAGCCAAAGCCUUGGCACCUGGUCCCAUCAGGACCGCUCACUGAGGGGAUGGCAUCUGAGUGGCUGCUCUGCAGUCAUGAGGCUGCCAUGGGUGGAUACGGACUGGUGGCCAGGUAACCAUAUCCUGCAUCCCUCACUUUUCCCUUCCUGGAGUUCAGACUGGGGCUUGAUCCCAGCCCACACCUUUCCUACAGGCUUUCUUUCCAGCCCGGGCCAGCCCAGGAAAUUCAGAAAUCUGCGGGACCCUCUGAGGGUUCUGCUAGACCAGGUUUCUCAAUCUUGGCACAGUUGGCAUUGGACCUGGAGCCUUCCCUGCGCGGGGCUGUCCUGGGCGGUGUGGGAUGUGCAGCAGUAAUUCUGGCCUCUACCCACUAGGUGCCAGUAGCACACCCCACCCCCGAAUUGGGACAACCAGGAAGGUCUCCAGACAUUGCCUCAUGUUCCCUGGGGGGGAAAAGCGCACCCCUGGUUCUGAACCAUCUCUUCAGGUUAAAGAUCUCUUGAAGGAGAGCCUCAGUCCACCAGCUGAGUAAGAUCAGAUCAGAACUGGCUGAAAUUCACCUGGGGCUUCCCCCAUCCAGCCCUUUCAUUUCCAGAAUGGUCCCUAGACCAGAAGGGUUGGAAGUACGUGGGGCAGGCCGCCCUACUCAAGCUCCUGUUCCUUAAAGGAAAGCUAGGGGGUGCUCCAAGUCUAGUCCUGAAGCACCAGAACUUUCUUUAAAACACACACUGAGACUCUUGACUGCAAAAGCCCCCACUAAGUAGCUUCCCCGUCAGGGCGUUGGUACAGGGAGCAGGACUGGGUCAGACCUGAAGGUGGUGGCACAGAUGUUUUUUUCUGCUUUGUGAAAAACAGAGGCUUGCCUUCUCUGAGUGUCAGUGGGGGAGGCCUCAGGAGGUUCUCUCUCAGGCAGCUGCUGGAAUUACAGCUUCUAAGUUAUGUGACAAGAGCCCUGAGCCCACAGUGUCCACUCAGGCCCAGAGCUGACAGCAGCCUUCUGUGGGCCCAGGACCAUGUGUCCCUGUCUCUGUACCCAUCCUAGGGUUUGAAGGAAACCGAUGCUGCUGCCCCCUGAUAAAGGGCUGGGCAUGCAUGCGUUCUCAGAGGACUGUGUCCUGAGCCUGGAAGGACUUUUGUCUUCUUAAAUAUUGAAGCAUUCACUGUAAACUUCCAUUUCCCCAUUGCCAGCAGCUCUCUUCCCCCACCUCUUCCAGACAGGACCUCCCCUUUCUGGGCUUUGGCAGGAGAGGGUGAAGUUUUCAAGCCAGGGUGCCCCUCUUUACCCUACUCACCCUUGUUUCCCAAACAUCAUUAGAUGAAAGCACCCCCGCCAAGAAGACAGACAUUCCCUGGCGGCUGAAGCAGAUGCUGGAUAUCCUGGUGUAUGAAGAGCAGCAGCAGGCGGCCGCGGGUGAGGCAGGGCCCUGCCUGGAGUACCUGCUGCAGCACAAGAUCCUGGAGACUCUCUGCACGCUGGGCAAGGCUGAGGUGGGAGGCCCUCUGUGCGCUGGGCCAGGCCGAGGUGGGAGACCCUCUGAGUGCUGGGCCAGGCUGAGGUGGGCAGUGGGCAGCCUGGGGCUCCCUGGAUUCCAGGCCUUUCUGCCUAUGCUCUUCCCAGUCCUGACACUGAAAGUGGCAGUUCGGGCGAGAGGAGCAAACAGGACGGGCACUGUGGCUGUCUCACUUAGAACACUCCACCAUCCCAGCGCUCCUGUUCCCAGUUCACUCCACAAAGAUGGGCCUGCCAUGUGCCAGGCUCUGCUCUAGAUGCUGGGGACACAGCAGGGAUUCAUACUGACAAGAGCCAGGCAUGGUGAUGCGCGCCUGUAGCCCCAGCUACGUGGGAGGCCGAGGUGGGUGGAUUGCUUGAGCCCAGGAGAUGGAGGCUGCAGUGAACUGUUAUCGUGAGACCGCACUCCUGCCUAGGAGGCAGAGCAAGACACUGUCUCUU